RNAcentral lists this ribosomal RNA (484 nucleotides) under uncultured bacterium. Its description in RNAcentral is "partial 16S ribosomal RNA". It matches the Rfam family "Bacterial small subunit ribosomal RNA", at positions 29 to 507 of the family's 1533-position model. The record is from RNAcentral.
AGUGAACGCUGGCGGCAGGCCUAACACAUGCAAGUCGAGCGGCAGCGGGUCCUUCGGGAUGCCGGCGAGCGGCGGACGGGUGAGGAAUGCGUCGGAAUCUGCCUUUUUGUGGGGGAUAACGUAGGGAAACUUACGCUAAUACCGCAUACGACCUACGGGUGAAAGUGGGGGACCGCAAGGCCUCACGCAGAAAGAUGAGCCGACGUCGGAUUAGCUAGUUGGCGGGGUAAAGGCCCACCAAGGCGACGAUCCGUAGCUGGUCUGAGAGGAUGAUCAGCCACACUGGAACUGAGACACGGUCCAGACUCCUACGGGAGGCAGCAGUGGGGAAUAUUGGACAAUGGGCGCAAGCCUGAUACAGCCAUGCCGCGUGUGUGAAGAAGGCCUUCGGGUUGUAAAGCACUUUUGUCCGGAAAGAAAUCCUGUCGGCUAAUACCCGGCGGGGAUGACGGUACCGGAAGAAUAAGCACCGGCUAACUUCGUG